CCUACGGGGGGCUGCAGUGGGGAAUAUUGCACAAUGGGCGCAAGCCUGAUGCAGCCAUGCCGCGUGUGUGAAGAAGGCCUUCGGGUUGUAAAGCACUUUCAGCGGGGAGGAAGGCGGUGAGGUUAAUAACCUCAUCGAUUGACGUUACCCGCAGAAGAAGCACCGGCUAACUCCGUGCCAGCAGCCGCGGUAAUACGGUGGGUGCAAGCGUUAAUCGGAAUUACUGGGCGUAAAGCGCACGCAGGCGGUCUGUCAAGUCGGAUGUGAAAUCCCCGGGCUCAACCUGGGAACUGCAUUCGAAACUGGCAGGCUAGAGUCUUGUAGAGGGGGGUAGAAUUCCAGGUGUAGCGGUGAAAUGCGUAGAGAUCUGGAGGAAUACCGGUGGCGAAGGCGGCCCCCUGGACAAAGACUGACGCUCAGGUGCGAAAGUGUGGGGAGCAAACAGGAUUAGAUACCCUAGUAGUC
Molecule: ribosomal RNA, 465 nt
Filed under: uncultured Klebsiella sp.
Lineage: Bacteria; Pseudomonadati; Pseudomonadota; Gammaproteobacteria; Enterobacterales; Enterobacteriaceae
Description: bacterial SSU rRNA
Rfam family: Bacterial small subunit ribosomal RNA
Source: RNAcentral